RNAcentral lists this microRNA precursor (167 nucleotides) under Pelobates cultripes (western spadefoot toad). Lineage: Eukaryota; Metazoa; Chordata; Amphibia; Anura; Pelobatidae. The record is from RNAcentral.
GCAGACACAUUCCAGCCAAUCAGCAGCAGACCCUCCCUCCCAGACCCUCCCACCUCCUGGACAGCAUCCAUUUUACAUUCAUUGUGAAGCUGCAUUCUUAGUGAGCUGUCCAGGAGGUGGGAGGGUCUGGGAGAGAGGGUCUGCUGCUGAUUGGCUAGAAUGUGUCG